GUAGUCAUUUGAUUGGCUAAUCCAAAAGGUCACCCUGACGUGACCCCUUAUGGGAUGUUGUUAGAUGUUCAGGCAACGUAGUGAGAAUGACCAUCUAGAUUUUUAUUAGAUUGUGAUUUUGUACAACUUUACCUCAUCUUCAUGUACAGGUUUUACCAGUCGGUCAAGGAUGUCUAGUCAAUGUUAUAGAUCAUUAUAGGAGAUACACACCUGUACAUCAGGUGGUUAUAAAGUCAUUAUAGGAGAUACACACCUGUACAUCAGGUGGUUAUAAAGGCAUUAUAGGAGAUACACACCUGUACAUCAGGUGGUUAUAAAGGCAUUAUAGGAGAUACACACCUGUACAUCAGGUGGUUACUGAAUACAUUAAUACUGUAAUUGGGUACCACCUUAAACUGUUCACACAAAGAUUUGUUAUAAUAUUUACUUCUUACCUGUUAUAUGUUGGCUAGGUUUCCAUGUUGGGUGUAUAACACAUGUACACCAAGAAACAAACAUCUCCUACAAUGUCAUUAUUAUAAUUUUACAAGUCGUACCACUCCUAAUACUGAAACAUCAGCUAGAUGUUAAAACAUGGUAAGACAAGAAAUACAGUAGUGAUAACAAACAAUGAAAUAAAACUAUUGUUUUAUAAGUAAUGAUGAAAGCUUUAAGUUGCAUUAAGAGUACCUUUUUCCUUGGGAAUAUCCCAAGUAGGCUUCAGUUUGUAGCUUAACAUAUGUACAUAUAUCUUUUUCUUCUAAGAAUGUUUAAAAAAAACAUUUACUGGAAAUAUUCUGUUGAGGCAUUUCUAUCCAUAUUAAAUGAAGAACAUGAAAUAAACUAUUUAUUUUCCAUC
Molecule: long non-coding RNA, 838 nt
Organism: Pecten maximus
Lineage: Eukaryota; Metazoa; Mollusca; Bivalvia; Pectinida; Pectinidae
Exons: 2
Source: RefSeq, a predicted model, not a curated record